GACGAACGCUGGCGGCGUGCCUAAUACAUGCAAGUCGAGCGAACAGACCAGGAGUUUGCUCCUCUGACGUUAGCGGCGGACGGGUGCGUAACAUGUGGAUAACCUACCUAUAAGACUGGGAUAACUUUGGGAAACCGGAUCUUAUACCGGAUAAUAUAUUGAUCCGCAUGGUUCACUAGUUAAAUUCGGUUUUUCUGUCUCUUAUAGCUGGAUCCGCGCCGCAUUAGCUAGUUGUUUAGGUAACGGCUUACCAAGGCGACGAUUCGUAGCCGACCUGAGAGGCGGAUAGGCAACACUGGAACGGGAAGACGGUCAAGACUACUGCGAGAGGGAGAAGUAGGGGAUCUUCCGCAGUGGGCGAAAGCGUGACGGAGCGACGCCGGGUGAGUGAUGGAGGUCUUCGGAUCGUGAGACUGUGUUAUGAGGGAAGAACAAAUGUGUAAGUAACUAUGCACGUCUUGACGGUAACUGAUCAGAAAGCCACGGCUAACUACGUG
This 497-nucleotide ribosomal RNA is filed under the name uncultured bacterium. RNAcentral's name for it is "partial 16S ribosomal RNA". It matches the Rfam family "Bacterial small subunit ribosomal RNA", at positions 28 to 507 of the family's 1533-position model. The record is from RNAcentral.